RNAcentral lists this ribosomal RNA (711 nucleotides) under uncultured Serratia sp. Its description in RNAcentral is "bacterial SSU rRNA". It matches the Rfam family "Bacterial small subunit ribosomal RNA", at positions 768 to 1479 of the family's 1533-position model. Lineage: Bacteria; Pseudomonadati; Pseudomonadota; Gammaproteobacteria; Enterobacterales; Yersiniaceae. The record is from RNAcentral.
GCGAACAGGAUUAGAUACCCUGGUAGUCCACGCCGUAAACGAUGUCGACUUGGAGGUUGUUCCCUUGAGGAGUGGCUUCCGGAGCUAACGCGUUAAGUCGACCGCCUGGGGAGUACGGCCGCAAGGUUAAAACUCAAAUGAAUUGACGGGGGCCCGCACAAGCGGUGGAGCAUGUGGUUUAAUUCGAUGCAACGCGAAGAACCUUACCUACUCUUGACAUCCAGAGAACUUAGCAGAGAUGCUUUGGUGCCUUCGGGAACUCUGAGACAGGUGCUGCAUGGCUGUCGUCAGCUCGUGUUGUGAAAUGUUGGGUUAAGUCCCGCAACGAGCGCAACCCUUAUCCUUUGUUGCCAGCGGUUAGGCCGGGAACUCAAAGGAGACUGCCAGUGAUAAACUGGAGGAAGGUGGGGAUGACGUCAAGUCAUCAUGGCCCUUACGAGUAGGGCUACACACAUGCUACAAUGGCAUAUACAAAGAGAAGCGACCUCGCGAGAGCAAGCGGACCUCAUAAAGUAUGUCGUAGUCCGGAUUGGAGUCUGCAACUCGACUCCAUGAAGUCGGAAUCGCUAGUAAUCGUAGAUCAGAAUGCUACGGUGAAUACGUUCCCGGGCCUUGUACACACCGCCCGUCACACCAUGGGAGUGGGUUGCAAAAGAAGUAGGUAGCUUAACCUUCGGGAGGGCGCUUACCACUUUGUGAUUCAUGACUGGG